UCAGUUACAAUCUAGCAUCUGGGGCACACACAACGAGUAUCUGAUUACUCUUUUUACAACGCCCCGGGAAGGUCUGAGAUAUGGUCAAAGCUCCCUUGUUGCUGUAACAACAUACAAAAGCCGAGAGGUGAUUGUGUGUCGCGGAGCUUCAUUUUCUAGCCGGAAACUUGUGUAAUCACAAGGCGAAAGUACCAGAAAUGCUGCAGUAUGGCUGUUGCCGCACCGCUUGCCGUUUGCCGCCGGCCAUGUUGCAUUGAAAACUUUCGUGACCAGCAAUUUAAGUGCGAUGUGCUUGCUGCAAACCUUGCCUGAGGUGCGCAGAACUCAAUUCAGACUAAUCUGUGACUGA
RNAcentral lists this RNase P RNA (349 nucleotides) under Drosophila virilis. RNAcentral describes it as "Nuclear RNase P". It matches the Rfam family "Nuclear RNase P". From Rfam's summary of the family: Ribonuclease P (RNase P) is a ubiquitous endoribonuclease, found in archaea, bacteria and eukarya as well as chloroplasts and mitochondria. Its best characterised activity is the generation of mature 5'-ends of tRNAs by cleaving the 5'-leader elements of precursor-tRNAs. Lineage: Eukaryota; Metazoa; Arthropoda; Insecta; Diptera; Drosophilidae. The record is from Rfam by way of RNAcentral.